Molecule: transfer RNA, 75 nt
Filed under: Dehalococcoidia bacterium
Lineage: Bacteria; Bacillati; Chloroflexota; Dehalococcoidia
Description: tRNA-Lys
Rfam family: tRNA
About the family: Transfer RNA (tRNA) molecules are approximately 80 nucleotides in length.
Source: RNAcentral
GGGCCGUUAGCUCAGAGGUAGAGCACCUGACUUUUAAUCAGGGUGUCGCUGGUUCGAAUCCAGCACGGCUCACCA